RNAcentral lists this ribosomal RNA (207 nucleotides) under uncultured bacterium. RNAcentral's name for it is "partial 16S ribosomal RNA". It matches the Rfam family "Bacterial small subunit ribosomal RNA", at positions 325 to 532 of the family's 1533-position model. The record is from RNAcentral.
CGCGGGAUUACUCCUACGGAGGCAGCAGUAAGGAAUAUUGCUCAAUGGCCGAAAGGCUGAAGCAGCAACGCCGCGUGGAGGAUGAAAUACUUUUGUAUGUAAACUCCUGUAAGAAGGGAAAAAUAUUCCGAUUUAUCGGGAUUGAUUGUACCUUCAGAGUAAGCCCCGACUAACUACGUGCCAGCAGCCGCGGUAAUAAUCACUAGU